Molecule: ribosomal RNA, 253 nt
Filed under: uncultured bacterium
Lineage: Bacteria
Description: partial 16S ribosomal RNA
Rfam family: Bacterial small subunit ribosomal RNA
Source: RNAcentral
UACGGAGGAUCCAAGCGUUAUCCGGAAUCAUUGGGUUUAAAGGGUCCGUAGGCGGUCUAAUAAGUCAGUGGUGAAAGCCCAUCGCUCAACGAUGGAACGGCCAUUGGUACUGUUAGACUUGAAUUAUUGGGAAGUAACUAGAAUAUGUAGUGUAGCGGUGAAAUGCUUAGAUAUUACAUGGAAUACCAAUUGCGAAGGCAGGUUACUAUCAAUAUAUUGACGCUGAUGGACGAAAGCGUGGGGAGCGAACAGG